CCUACGGGAGGCAGCAGUGGGGAAUAUUGGACAAUGGGCGAAAGCCUGAUCCAGCAAUGCCGCGUGAGUGAUGAAGGCCUUAGGGUUGUAAAGCUCUUUUACCAGGGAUGAUAAUGACAGUACCUGGAGAAUAAGCUCCGGCUAACUCCGUGCCAGCAGCCGCGGUAAUACGGAGGGAGCUAGCGUUGUUCGGAAUUACUGGGCGUAAAGCGUGCGUAGGCGGUGAUUCAAGUCAGAGGUGAAAGCCUGGAGCUCAACUCCAGAACGGCCUUUGAAACUAGAUCGCUAGAAUUAUGGAGAGGUAAGUGGAAUUCCGAGUGUAGAGGUGAAAUUCGUAGAUAUUCGGAAGAACACCAGUGGCGAAGGCGACUUACUGGACAUAUAUUGACGCUGAGGUACGAAAGCGUGGGGAGCAAACAGGAUUAGAUACCCUGGUAGUCCACGCCGUAAACGAUGAUAACUAGCUGUUCGGGCUCUCAGAGCGUGUAGUGGCGCGACGCGUACGACGAUUAAGUUACGUUACCGUCCGUCGGGUAGGUACGGUACGGCGAGUAAGUUAAACGUUAAAGUUAAGUUAAGUUAGUUAGGUUACGUGAGACGUUGCCGACGGACGACGACGAGGGAGGAGG
This 629-nucleotide ribosomal RNA is filed under the name uncultured bacterium. RNAcentral describes it as "bacterial SSU rRNA". The stretch from base 1 to 527 matches the Rfam family "Bacterial small subunit ribosomal RNA", at positions 338 to 873 of the family's 1533-position model. The record is from RNAcentral.